RNAcentral lists this ribosomal RNA (466 nucleotides) under uncultured bacterium. Its description in RNAcentral is "partial 16S ribosomal RNA". It matches the Rfam family "Bacterial small subunit ribosomal RNA", at positions 28 to 505 of the family's 1533-position model. The record is from RNAcentral.
GACGAACGCUGGCGGCGUGCUUAACACAUGCAAGUCGAACGGAAAGGCCCUGCUUUUGUGGGGUGCUCGAGUGGCGAACGGGUGAGUAACACGUGAGUAACCUGCCCUUGACUUUGGGAUAACUUCAGGAAACUGGGGCUAAUACCGGAUAGGAGCUCCUGCUGCAUGGUGGGGGUUGGAAAGUUUCGGCGGUUGGGGAUGGACUCGCGGCUUAUCAGCUUGUUGGUGGGGUAGUGGCUUACCAAGGCUUUGACGGGUAGCCGGCCUGAGAGGGUGACCGGCCACAUGGGGAGUGAGACAGGGCCGAGACUCCUAGGGGGGGGAGCAGGGGAAAAUAUUGCACAAGGGGCGGAAGCCUGGUGCAGCAGCGCCGCGUGCGAGAUGGGGGCUUUGGGGGUAUAAACCGCUUUCCCGUGAGACAAAGCGUGAGUGACGGUAAGGGGAAAAGAAGCACCGGCUAACUACG